Molecule: non-coding RNA, 86 nt
Organism: Bacillus pumilus SAFR-032
Lineage: Bacteria; Bacillati; Bacillota; Bacilli; Caryophanales; Bacillaceae
Source: Rfam
UGGGCAGUAUCUGAAAAGAGCUGUACCUGUUAGAAACAAAAAUUUGAUCAAUUUCUGCCUUGAUCCUAAGGGACUUGGACAGAGGG